Molecule: long non-coding RNA, 386 nt
Organism: Pristis pectinata (smalltooth sawfish)
Lineage: Eukaryota; Metazoa; Chordata; Chondrichthyes; Rhinopristiformes; Pristidae
Exons: 3
Source: RefSeq, a predicted model, not a curated record
CUCAGCCUGCUUAUGUCGUGUAAUGCUCCAACCCAACCCUCUCUUGCCAAAUACCUAAUUCUUACUGUCAAUGAGCAGUAGACACACGAGAAGCAAAGAAAGACAACGGCGUCACGGCAUCAGCCUGGGCCUCCGGGAAUGGAAUAACAUUAGAAGUGUCUGUCCACUGUCAUCCAACUGGGAGGUCUUAUCGUGGGGUUCCGUUCUUAUGUCUCCAGUUGUGGCCUGAGGAUCAUCUUCUUUGGCUUAUGGUGCAGGAGGUUGUUUAUCGAUGCUAGAAAGCCAAAACCAAAAGAGAAAAUGCUGGAACAAUUUAGCAGGUCAAGCAGCAUCCGUGGGGAGAGAAAUUGCUGGGGCAAGGACCCUUUAUCAGUACUGGAAACAAG